GACGAACGCUGGCGGCGUGCCUAAUACAUGCCAGUAGAACGCACAGUUUAUACCGUAGCUUGCUACACCAUAGACUGUGAGUUGCGAACGGGUGAGUAACGCGUAGGUAACCUGCCUGGUAGCGGGGGAUAACUAUUGGAAACGAUAGCUAAUACCGCAUAAUAUUGAUUAUUGCAUGAUAAUUGAUUGAAAGAUGCUAUUGCAUCACUACCAGAUGGACCUGCGUUGUAUUAGCUAGUAGGUGAGGUAACGGCUCACCUAGGCGACGAUACAUAGCCGACCUGAGAGGGUGAUCGGCCACACUGGGACUGAGACACGGCCCAGACGCCUACGGGAGGCAGCAGUAGGGAAUCUUCGGCAAUGGACGAAAGUCUGACCGAGCAACGCCGCGUGAGUGAAGAAGGGUGUCGGAUCGUAAAGCUCGGUUGUAAGAGAAGAACGGGUGUGAGAGUGGAAAGUUCACACUGUGACGGUAUCUUACCAGAAAGGGACGGCUAACUACGUG
This 505-nucleotide ribosomal RNA is filed under the name uncultured bacterium. RNAcentral's name for it is "partial 16S ribosomal RNA". It matches the Rfam family "Bacterial small subunit ribosomal RNA", at positions 28 to 507 of the family's 1533-position model. The record is from RNAcentral.